RNAcentral lists this ribosomal RNA (417 nucleotides) under uncultured bacterium. RNAcentral describes it as "bacterial SSU rRNA". It matches the Rfam family "Bacterial small subunit ribosomal RNA", at positions 30 to 441 of the family's 1533-position model. The record is from RNAcentral.
AUUGAACGCUGGCGGCAUGCUUUACACAUGCAAGUCGAACGGCAGCACGGGUGCUUGCACCUGGUGGCGAGUGGCGGACGGGUGAGUAAUACAUCGGAACGUAUCCUAAAGUGGGGGAUAACGCAUCGAAAGAUGUGCUAAUACCGCAUACACUCUGAGGAGGAAAGUAGGGGAUCGAAAGACCUUACGCUUUUGGAGCGGCCGAUGUCUGAUUAGCUAGUUGGUAAGGUAAUGGCUUACCAAGGCAACGAUCAGUAGUUGGUCUGAGAGGACGACCAGCCACACUGGGACUGAGACACGGCCCAGACUCCUACGGGAGGCAGCAGUGGGGAAUAUUGCGCAAUGGGGGGAAACCCUGACGCAGCCACGCCGGCGUGGGGUGAUGGAAGGCCUUCGGGUUGUAAAGCCCUGUCGGGA